Molecule: long non-coding RNA, 2080 nt
Organism: Carassius auratus (goldfish)
Lineage: Eukaryota; Metazoa; Chordata; Actinopteri; Cypriniformes; Cyprinidae
Exons: 4
Source: RefSeq, a predicted model, not a curated record
GUUUAAUUAGUCAUAGAGUGUGAUCAAUAUUUGUUACAAUUUUUUUUCUAAUAUCAUAAAUAUUAUUUGUGUGAAAAUGUAACAAUAACAACCAGUCAGAGUCUUUUACUUUAAGUCAGCCGGAGACUUUUAAUUUAUCAGGUUUAUUCCCACGACAUCACCAUAUCUGCGUACGUCGUGACGUCAGACGUCCAAAGCGUGGGGGCGCUCCUCCUUAAAGUCGCAAUUUGUCAUCAAAUAGCAAAGAUGUUCCGGCCCAAGCCCAAACUGAAGGACAGACAGCACCUGUACAGGCUGAUCAUCAGCCAGCUGCUGUAAUACGGAUACACCAGCAUCGCCAACAGCCUGAUCAAUGAGGUGAAGCCCCAGAGUGUGGUGUCUCCAUCAGAGCAGCUCAUGCAACUGGCCAGGAUAGAUAUCUUUGUGAACAAUUCGUCCAGGCAUUGGCUUAAACUCUGGAGUUUAAUACCCACACCUCAAAAUCCAUUCAACAUCCAAUGCAGAGCCAUCGAUUUUUUUUUUGAUAAUGCUUCAGUUGGAUCUACAUCACAAUUCAGAAGAAAAAAUUCUGUUUCAUUGCGACUUCCGGUAUGUUAUUUAUUCAAGUUGGACAACGAAACAGCCCAGCAGAACUCUUUGAUUAUUCAAAGCCUUCAGCAAAAAGAGCCUUCAAGCACAUACAGGAAGCUGAAAUGUUGCGCUCCAUCUUUUUUAAUCCGUCUGGGGAUUUCUUACUAGUUGGCACACAGCAUCCAACCUUGCGUCUUUAUGACGUCAACACUUUCCAGUGUUUUGUGUCCUGCAACCUUCUGGAUCAGCACACAGACACCAUCUGCGGAGUCUGUUACAAUCCCAGCGCUAACAGCUACGUCACCUGUAACACACAUCACAGCCAGUGUAGCCCAGUUUCGGAAAUGCAUGACUCCUACGAGUUGGUUAUGUUGAUAAUUAGUUCAAAAACACUGGUUAACGGUUUAAAUCAGUCUGAAACAUUGCCCUGUAUAAUUAACAUAAUUAACUGGGAAAGAAUACAUUUGUUUGUAAGUAGAAUAGACUGAAAUACACUGGAAUAAAUCAGAAUCUAACCAAAACUUAGAGCCAGAUAAUCUGAAUCAAAUUUAAUCAGUAAACUUGUGUAUGUUAUAAGCAUCUAGGAGUGGAAAUAAAAAUAAUUUUAUAAUAUGUGUUAAAAACAAAAUGUGGGUAAAAAGUGCUAGUAGUUAAUAACAUUAUUUUGGAACUUCCAUUGGUCAGUUUGGGGUAAACCUUGACAUAUAAGUUGGAAAUACCAGUUCUGUCUGUUUUUUACUGCGGCUCGCGCACUCUGCCGCUUGCUCACCCUCAUUGUGUUUCCUGUCAUGCAGGUGCAGGUCUCAGUAGGCGACAUACGCACCACACUCAGGGUGUUUUCUACCACACUGAGGAAUAUGUGCUGCUGCCAGAUGAGCGAACCAUCAGCUUGUGCUGCUGGGAUUCACGCACUGCUGAGAGGAAGAACCUGCUCUCAUUAGGCCACAAUAACAUUGUGCGCUGUAUCGUACACUCACCCACCAUCCCAGGCUUCAUGACCUGCAGCAAUGACUUCAGAGCACGCUUCUGGUAUCGCCGCACCACCACGGACUAAGACACAUCUGUGUGCUUUAAAAGCAAAAGUCUCUGAGCUUCUUUUAUCAGCAGGUCCCAAACAUUGCGUAUGACUUCAGAGGCUUGUUUGCCAAGCCUCCAUAUCACUGAAUGCACAAAACCAUUUUUAAAAGCACCAGAGAGCUUAUGACUGUGGUACCUUAGUAUUACUGCCGGGUGGUGCUGUUUUACUACUAUGAGUUCUGUUGUUUUCUUUACUACCAUUUCAUAACAUCAGAACUAUCAGCCGUAAAGUUGCAUUGAAGCUAAAGACAGAUUUUUUUUUUAUAUUUGUGUCCGACAACAAGUAGAUGAGUGUUAUUCUGUCAUGGCAAGUGCCUAGAAUGUCAUUUUUUCUGUUUUGGAUAUUAAAGGGAUAGUUCACCCAAAUAGCAAAAUUAAUUGUCAUUAAUAUCUCACCCUCAUGUCGUUCCAAACCAGUAAGACCUCCGUCUAU